CAGCAGCCGCGGUAAAACGUAGGUGGCAAGCGUUGUCCGGAAUUAUUGGGCGUAAAGGGCUCGCAGGCGGUUUCUUAAGUCUGAUGUGAAAGCCCCCGGCUCAACCGGGGAGGGUUAUUGGAAACUGGGAAACUUGAGUGCAGAAGAGGAGAGUGGAAUUCCACGUGUAGCGGUGAAAUGCGUAGAGAUGUGGAGGAACACCAGUGGCGAAGGCGACUCUCUGGUCUGUAACUGACGCUGAGGAGCGAAAGCGUGGGGAGCGAACAGGAUUAGAUACCCCAGUAGUCCCUGUCUCUUAUAC
This 301-nucleotide ribosomal RNA is filed under the name uncultured bacterium. RNAcentral's name for it is "partial 16S ribosomal RNA". It matches the Rfam family "Bacterial small subunit ribosomal RNA", at positions 509 to 807 of the family's 1533-position model. The record is from RNAcentral.